This is a long non-coding RNA of Culex quinquefasciatus (southern house mosquito), 455 nucleotides long. RefSeq lists it as uncharacterized. The transcript has 2 exons. The record is from RefSeq and is a predicted model, not a curated record. Lineage: Eukaryota; Metazoa; Arthropoda; Insecta; Diptera; Culicidae.
UGUUUUUCCCUGUUGAAGCAUCUGCCUUUUUGAAACGAAGUUUCUAGAACUAUCUCAGCACAGGCCACAAAACAAUCAAGAAAGUGGUCAAACGAACAAAAAUGACUCGGAGGAAGACAGAAAUAUUCGAUGAUCAAUGAAGGAACUGAACACACAUUCUUGGAGUCGUUGGGAUUAGCAGCCAAAGUCAAUUAACCUUCGCAACAAAGGGCAGGCUUUUCACCAGGCGAUGCAGAACACAGGCGAAAGCGCGGCAAAUGGAUUUUACUUGAAUAUUUACUUGAUUGUUUUGUUGGUGUACUUAUUAUAACAUUCAUUUGGCAAGGGGAGGAUGUGGCAUCCUAAACAUUAUCCUAAAUUAGGUAGUCAGUGUGCGUCGACGGAUGACGACUCUGGUGGAUGAAGCCGAACAGUAAAGAUGGAGCUUGGCUCCCGUUUGAUAAGUGCAAUUAAAA